This 501-nucleotide ribosomal RNA is filed under the name uncultured bacterium. RNAcentral's name for it is "partial 16S ribosomal RNA". It matches the Rfam family "Bacterial small subunit ribosomal RNA", at positions 29 to 523 of the family's 1533-position model. The record is from RNAcentral.
AUUGAACGCUGGCGGCAUGCCUUACACAUGCAAGUCGAACGGCAGCACGGGUGCUUGCACCUGGUGGCGAGUGGCGAACGGGUGAGUAAUACAUCGGAACGUACCUUAUCGUGGGGGAUAACGCAGCGAAAGCUGUGCUAAUACCGCAUACGCCCUGAGGGGGAAAGCGGGGGAUCGCAAGACCUCGCGCGAUUAGAGCGGCCGAUGCCUGAUUAGCUAGUUGGUGGGGUAGAAGCCCACCAAGGCGACGAUCAGUAGCUGGUCUGAGAGGACGAUCAGCCACACUGGGACUGAGUCACGGCCCAGACUCCUACGGGAGGCAGCAGUGGGGAAUUUUGGACAAUGGGGGCAACCCUGAUCCAGCAAUGCCGCGUGAGUGAAGAAGGCCUUCGGGUUGUAAAGCUCUUUUGUCAGGGAAGAAACACCGGCUCUAACACAGUCCGGGAAUGACGGUACCUGAAGAAUAAGCACCGGCUAACUACGUGCCAGCAGCCGCCGUAA